AGCAAAGUAGCAUAGUGGUUUGAGUGCUGGACAAUGACUCUGGAGACCACGGUUCGAUUCCCCUCUUGGCCC
Molecule: non-coding RNA, 72 nt
Organism: Phrynosoma platyrhinos (Desert horned lizard)
Lineage: Eukaryota; Metazoa; Chordata; Lepidosauria; Squamata; Phrynosomatidae
Source: the annotation of a GenBank genome assembly